AUUGAACGCUGGCGGCAGGCCUAACACAUGCAAGUCGAACGAGUGGCGGACGGGUGAGUAAUGUCUGGGAAACUGCCCGUUGGAGGGGGAUAACUACUGGAAACGGUAGCUAAUACCGCAUACCCUCGGAUGUGCCCAGAUGGGAUUAGCUAGUAGGUGGGGUAACGGCUCACCGAGGCGACGAUCCCUAGCUGGUCUGAGAGGAUGACCAGCCACACUGGAACUGAGACACGGUCCAGACUCCUACGGGAGGCAGCAGUGGGGAAUAUUGCACAAUGGGCGCAAGCCUGAUGCAGCCAUGCCGCGUGUAUGAAGAAGGCCUUCGGGUUGUAAAGUACUUUCAGCGAGGAGGCGUUACUCGCAGAAGAAGCACCGGCUAACUCCGUGCCAGCCGCCGCGGUAAUAC
This 406-nucleotide ribosomal RNA is filed under the name uncultured bacterium. RNAcentral's name for it is "partial 16S ribosomal RNA". It matches the Rfam family "Bacterial small subunit ribosomal RNA", at positions 30 to 526 of the family's 1533-position model. The record is from RNAcentral.